GGGUCUACCCAUUGGUCAGGCUUAAUUGUCUGCACUGGUCAAAUUGAUUCCUACCUUCUGACGAACCACGAUGUCAUUAAUUUGGUGUCGCGGGAAAUCAGGACUGUUACUUUGAAAAAAUUAGAGUGUUUAAAGCAGGCUCGCGCUUGAAUACAUUAGCAUGGAAUAAUGAAAUAGGACGUUUGAUUCUAUUUUGUUGGUUUCUAGGAUCGACGUA
Molecule: ribosomal RNA, 217 nt
Filed under: Campeiostachys nutans
Lineage: Eukaryota; Viridiplantae; Streptophyta; Magnoliopsida; Poales; Poaceae
Description: Elymus nutans partial small subunit ribosomal RNA
Rfam family: Eukaryotic small subunit ribosomal RNA (bases 44-217)
Source: RNAcentral